AAAAACCAACUUACCUGUCUUGCUAAAUUUCAAAGCACUGCCUUCAAAAGUCCAUCUUACAAAAUCAAGGGUUUCAGUCCUUUCUAUUAUUGCCCAAAUCAAAAUCGAAACCAAGCAUUCAAGAUGAUCAUCAACCUCCUGUUUAAGUUCUGUAUGUUUCGCAGCCGAUUUGUGGAGAAAUAAUUAAGAUCAAGGAGAAUUGCAUAGAUGAUCAGGUAUCUGCAAAAGCUUGAACCGUGAUUGAAG
This 246-nucleotide long non-coding RNA is filed under the name Lotus japonicus. RNAcentral describes it as "long non-coding RNA (LJAP_LNC000423)". Lineage: Eukaryota; Viridiplantae; Streptophyta; Magnoliopsida; Fabales; Fabaceae. The record is from RNAcentral.